RNAcentral lists this ribosomal RNA (388 nucleotides) under Syndiniales sp. Its description in RNAcentral is "partial small subunit ribosomal RNA". It matches the Rfam family "Eukaryotic small subunit ribosomal RNA", at positions 582 to 975 of the family's 1831-position model. Lineage: Eukaryota; Dinophyceae; Syndiniales. The record is from RNAcentral.
AUUCCAGCUCCAAUAGCGUAUAUUAAAGUUGUUGCGGUAAAAAAGCUCGUAGUUGGAUUUCUGUUGAGAACGACCGGUCCACACAACGUGUGCGCAUCUGGUUCGGUCUCGGCAUCCUCUCGAAAGACGACUCUGCGCUUGAUUGCGUGGAUCGGAUUCCGGGACUUUUACUUUGAGGAAAUUAGAGUGUUCACGGCAGGCUAUCGCCAGGAUACAUUAGCAUGGAAUAAUACUAUAGGAUCUUGACCCUAUUUUGUUGGUUUCUAGGAGCAAGAUAAUGAUUAAUAGGGACAAUUGGGGGCAUUCGUAUCAACACGUCAGAGGUGGAAUUCUUGGAUUGUGUUGCGACGAACUACUGCGAAAGCAUUUGCCAAGGAUGUUUUCAUUG